RNAcentral lists this ribosomal RNA (500 nucleotides) under uncultured bacterium. RNAcentral's name for it is "partial 16S ribosomal RNA". It matches the Rfam family "Bacterial small subunit ribosomal RNA", at positions 30 to 523 of the family's 1533-position model. The record is from RNAcentral.
AUUGAACGCUGGCGGCAUGCCUUACACAUGCAAGUCGAACGGCAGCACGGGAGCAAUCCUGGUGGCGAGUGGCGAACGGGUGAGUAAAGUAUCGGAACGUGCCCAGUCGUGGGGGAUAACGUAGCGAAAGUUACGCUAAUACCGCAUACGAUCUAUGGAUGAAAGCGGGGGAUCGCAAGACCUCGCGCGAUUGGAGCGGCCGGUAUCAGAUUAGGUAGUUGGUGGGGUAGAGGCUCACCAAGCCGACGAUCUGUAGCUGGUCUGAGAGGACGACCAGCCACACUGGGACUGAGGCACGGCCCAGACUCCUACGGGAGGCAGCAGUGGGGAAUUUUGGACAAUGGGCGAAAGCCUGAUCCAGCCAUGCCGCGUGCAGGAUGAAGGCCUUCGGGUUGUAAACUGCUUUUGUACGGAACGAAAAGGUUUGGCCUAAUAAGCUGAGCUCAUGACGGUACCGUAAGAAUAAGCACCGGCUAACUACGUGCCAGCAGCCGCCGUAA